This 92-nucleotide small RNA is filed under the name Clostridium sp. RNAcentral's name for it is "Manganese sequence". It matches the Rfam family "Manganese Mn2+ riboswitch aptamer (yybP-ykoY)". From Rfam's summary of the family: This RNA was originally discovered in E. coli during a large scale screen and was named SraF. The family was later found to exist upstream of related families of protein genes in many bacteria, including the the yybP and ykoK genes in B. subtilis. The specific functions of these proteins are unknown, but this structured RNA element may be involved in their genetic regulation as a riboswitch. Lineage: Bacteria; Bacillati; Bacillota; Clostridia; Eubacteriales; Clostridiaceae. RNAcentral also lists the same sequence under 1 other name. The record is from RNAcentral.
AACUUCGUUAAAAGGGAGUAGCUGCCUUGUAAAAGGUGAUAAAGUCAACAUACUGACCUUUGGUCUGGCUUUAUCGUAACUAAUCUUAGUUA